UGGAAUUCUACCGGAAAUUUGAUUCCCACCCAAGCCCAACCUUUCUAGUUUUGACAAAUUGCCUAGAGUAGAUGGGAUAACACCAAUGAAGUUGUUAAGGUACAAAGACAAUCUUUGAAGUUUACUGAAGCAACCAAACCAUGAUGGGAUUUCUCCAUUGAAGCUAUUGUUACCAAAGUCCAAAUACCAAAUUGGUUAACUCAAUGGGUAAAAAGCCAUGGAAACUAUUUUGAUGAAUGUCGAGCCAAGCAAGGAAAGAUAGAUUUCCCAAUUGAGAAGAAAUGGUGCCUGUGCGAUCCAUGCUUGAUAAAUUCAGAGCAGUGACUCUAUGGUGUCUAGAUCCACAUGUGACACUAAUCCAGCUACAAACGGAGGUAGAAGUAGACCAAUUGGUUGCCAAGAAAUUGUGAGGAUCAUGAGUUAUAUGAGAUUUGAUUGCUAGAAGAGCAGAUUGAUAAACGGUGAUGCUAGAAUAUUUUGCAGACAAAAUAACCCCAAAGGUUGCAAAUAGCAGCCCAAACAAUACAUUAAUUACAUAUUUAUUUUUACAUAUCUCAUUUUAUUUACUGUCACUAGACAUUUUAUAUAUAUAUAUAUAUAUAUAUAUAAAUUAUUAAAUAUUAAAUUUCAUAUAUAUAAAAAAAUCCACAUAUUACUUAUUUUAUUAAUACAUAAUAAAUCGUUUAGAUGAUUUCAAGUUAAAAAAAACAAACAUAUAUUUUAGAUUUUAUGUGGAUUCUUUUAAGUUCAGUAUUCAAAUUAUUCAGAUUUCCAUCAUCAAAGUCGAAUAGUUUGUAAUUCAAAUUAUUGCUCUCUUUUUACUUGUACCAAUAUUUCCUAUAAUUUUCUUAUGUUAAAAUAGUUAAAGUAUUAAAUAUAUAAUUAAUUGGAGAGAAGUCAAAAGCUAAUUAAUAAUAUAUAGGGAUUGCAUAAAUGUAACAACAAAAAGAAAAAAAAAUCAAAGCUACUUCAUGGUUGUAUUUUGUGAGGCUGUGGAAGUUGAAAGAGUAAUAAUUUUAAGCUGUCUAAUGAAAAUAUUAAACUAAAACUUUAGUAGAGUUUAAUUAUAUAUUAUAUUUUAAUUUUUUAAUAAAAUUGCAUAUUUUAAAUCAAAAAAUAUUUUAAUCAAAUCAUCUGUAUUAGUUUUGAAGUUCAGGCUUAUAUAUAUAGAAUAUAUAUUGAUUGAGUGUAUAACUUCAACUUUAUUUGGAAGAAAAAUUGGAAAUAAAUAAUAUUUGCUAUACACAUGAAUGUGUAUAAAAUGAAUGAUUAGUAGAGUUUAAUUAUAUAUAUAUAUAUAUUAUAUUUUAAUAUUUAAUAAAAUUACAUCUUUUAAUUCAAAAAGAUAUUUUAAUCAAUCAAUUUUAUUAUUUUUCGAGUUUAGGCUUAUAUUUAUAAUAUAUAUGUCGAGUUAGAAAUACUACAAAAGGUUGACAUUUUUUAAAAGUAUGAUAAUUUGAAUAGAAGUAACAUAUGCUAAUGUAGAGUAAUUGUUCCAUAUAAUCCUUUUUAUGAUGAAAUGAUUGCUUAGUUUACUUCAUAACUUCUUACACUUAGACAUAAUAAUGAGGAAAUUAUUUUAUUUUAUUUACUUAAAAAAUUGCAUAAAAUUAAUAAAAAAAAGAGAAUAAAAGAAACAUGAAAUUAUACCUGUCAAUUUGUUAUUGCUAAGAUGAAGAAAUUGGAGAGAAGUCAAGUUUCCAAUAACAAGAGGAAUUUCACCUGAAACGUAUAAUUAAAUCGGUCAAAAUUUGCAAAUAUUUUCCUACCGAACCCUUAAUUUAUUUGUUCAUAUUAACGUUUGUUUCAUUUACCUAUUUUUAAAUAUGCAAGUUUAGUUUAGUCUUAUAGUACUUAUGAUAACCCAAAAAUAUUUUAAUUAUAAUACUCAAAUUAACAAUAAAAUUAAAAAAUAUUUAUCUUUGUGCCAGAAAAAAAACACCGCAUAGAUCAUAAAAAGGAAAAACUAAAACAUCCAAAAGAAUAUGUCAAACACUAAACACAAAAUUCAUAGUUGUAGAGGAGGAUUAGAUACAUUGGUCCCAUAAUAUGUCACUCAAAAUCUCAAAUUCAUCCAACAAAAAGAAAUCAUCACUUUAGUUAAUUAAAUCAAGAACAAAUGAAGUUAUGGAUGAACAAAUAUGGGAAGCAAAGAAAUGUGAUGGAUCAAAAGGGACGGAUAAGCUAAUUUCUGCCAUAAGGUAGAUGGUGAACUUAGGAUGUGGAGUUCCAAUAAAUACCUAAAAAUACCUAAACUUUUGGCAAUUCAAAUAGAUUAUAAUAAUUUUUAAUUACUUAAAAAUAUUGCAUAAAUUUAAUAACAAAAAGGAGAAUAAAAGAAACAUGAAAUUACACCUGUCAAUUUGUUAUUGCUAAGAGAAAGGUAUUGGAGAGAAGUCAAGUUUCCAAUAACAAGAGGAAUUUUACCUGAAACAUAUAAUUAAAUCAGUAAAUAUAUAAUUAUUUUUAUUAAUUAUUUUAAGAGUUUAAUGUUGAGCAUAUUAGUGUCUGUUUCAUUUACCUAUUUUUAAAUAUGCAAAUUUAAUUUAGUCUUAUAAUAAUAUGAGUAAUAUUGGGCUCCAACCACAAUACACGGUAAAAAAUGAAAGCCAGAAAAAUGCAAGACUGCAUGUCUACACCAUAUUAUUUUUAUAAAUAAAAGAGUAAUCUCUCUCUAUAUAAAUAAAUGAGUUGGGUUGGAUUCCAUUUAAUUGAAAAUGAGUUGGAUUGGCUGAUUAUUUGAUUUUGGGUUAAAUGAAAAUCAACUUCAGCCUGGAUGUAGGUAUUGGGUUUAAUGUAACUUAUAUAAAGAGUUUAGUAUGUCGCUUUAUUUGACUUAUUUGGUUUGGACACUCAAAUUUGAAAUUGAUCAAUUAAACCAAUAGAAUUGAGUCUCAACUAAAUAAAGUGAAAACUCAACUAAAUAGAAUUGGAUUAAAGUGAUUCAAUUAAUCAAAUUUUCACAUACUUAUAACUAUCGUGAUUCAUUCAUAUUAUUAUUCUCAUACUAUAAUCAUGUUAUGUAAUAAAAUUGUGUAAUAAAGUACUUGAUUUUGUUUUCCUAACUUGAUGUAUUUGGAAAGAUCGAAGCUUUUUUCUAUUUUAGGGUGUCUCUUGGAGCACAGGUGAGAUUAUUAAGAUAUUAUAUAUUUUGGGCAAAAUAGUUUGUUUCUUUUCAUAAGGAAGACAUUUCUAGACAAAAAGAACAAAAGUUAGCAGUUGAGAUGUCAGAAAGUUGGAUCAAUCUUUGCACUGAUGGGGCGGUCCAAAUUGCCCUGGGUGAUUCUAAAGCGGGGGAAGUCAAAAGAAAUGGAAAAAGGGAGUGGAUUAUGGGAUACAACAAAAAUCUAGGCAAAUGCUCAGCCUUCAAUGCUGAACUAUGGGUAGUUCUUGAUGGAUUAGCUCUCAUUCACAAAGGGCGCUAUGAUGGUGUAUUGAUACAAACUGAUAGCUUGGAGGUGGUUAAAGCCAUUCAGGACUCCUCUCCCUCAAGCUUGAAUUCUACCCUCAUCAGACGUAUAAAUGUACGUUCAUGGGCCAUUCAACAUUUUCCUAGAGAACAUAAUAAAGUUGCCGAUUGCUUGGCCAAAAUGGCCUUUGAUACGAAUAUGUCACUUUAGUUAAUUAAAUCAAGAACAAAUAUAGUUAUGGAUGAACAAAUAUGGGAAGCAAAGAAAAAUGAUGGAUCAAAAGGGAAGAAUAAGCUAAUUUCUGCCAUAAGGUAGAUGGUGAACUUAGGAUGUGGAGUUCAAAUUAUUGAUAUUUUUCUUAUUCUUAUAUUUUUCUAAUUUUAAAGUAGUUAAAGGAUUAAAUGUGUAAUUAAUUGUUUUAAGCCAAAAGUAUUAUAGUAAUAUAAAAAGAAAAUAUGAGUAUAUAAAGAAAUACUCAAAUUUGUUUCUUAUACUCAAAAUGUUUACACAUAAGACACAAUAAUAUUUAUAACUUUUUGUAAUGAAAUAAUAUUCAAAACUUCAACUUUAUUUGGAAGAAAAAUUGGAAAUAAAUAAUAUUUGCUAUACACAUGAAUGAUUAGUAGAGUUUAAUUAUAUAUAUAUUUUUUAUAUUUUAAUAUUUAAUAAAAUUACAUCUUUUAAUUCAAAAAGAUAUUUUAAUCAACCGUUUUUAUUAGUUUUCGAGUUCAGGCUUAUAUAUAUAAUAUAUAUGUCGAGCUAGAAAUAGUACAAAAAGUUGACAUUUUUUGAAAGUAUGAUAAUUUGAAUAGAAGUAACAUAUACUAAUGUGGAGCAAUUGUUCCAUAUAAUCCUUUUUAUGAUGAAAUGAUUGCUUAAUUUACUUCAUAACUUCUUACAUUUAGACAUAAUAAUCAGGUUUUAAUCUUUUAAGAACUUUUAUUUUAUUUACUUAAAAAUUGCAUAAAUUUAAUAAAAAAAAGAGAAUAAAAGAAACAUGAAAUUAUACCUGUCAAUUUGUUAUAGCUAAGAUAAAGUGAUUGGAGAGAUGUCAAGUUCCCAAUAACAAGAGGAAUUUCACCUAAAACAUAUAAUUAAAUCGGUCAAAAUUUGCAAAUAUUUUCCUACCAACCCCUUAAUUUAUUUGUUGAGCAUAUUAGUAUAUGUUUCAUUUACCUAUUUUUAAAUAUGCAAGUUUAGUCUUAUAAUACUUAUGAUAACCCAAAAAUAUUUUAAUUAUAAUACUCAAAUUAACAAUAAAAAAAAUAUUUAUCUUUGUGCCAAAAAAAACACCGCAUAGAUCAUAAAAAGGAAAAACUAAAACAUCCAAAAAAGCACUAAACACAAAAUUCAUAGUUGUAGAGGAGAAUUAGAUACAUUGGUCCCAUAAUAUGUCACUCAAAAUCUAAAAAUCAUCCAACAAAAAGAAAUCAUCACUUUAGUUAAUUAAAGCAAGAACAAAUAAAGUUAUGGAUGAACAAAUAUGGGAAGCAAAGAAAAAUGAUGGAUCAAAAGGGACGAAUAAGCUAAUUUCUGCCAUAAAGGUAGAUGGUGAACUUAGGAUAUGGAGUUCCAAUAAAUACCUAAACGUACCUAAACUUUUGGCAAUUCAAAUAGAUUAUACUAAUUUUUAAUUACUUAAAAAUAUUGCAUAAAUUUAAUAACAAAAAAGAGAAUAAAAGAAACAUGAAAUUAUACCUGUCAAUUUGUUAUUGUCAAGAUAAAGCACUAGAAGAGAAGUCAAGUUUCCAAUAAUAAGAGGAAUUUCACCUGAAACAUAUAAUUAAAUCAGUAAAUAUUUGUAAAUAUUUUCCUAGCAAACCCUUAAUUUAUUUGUUGAGCAUAUUAGUUUUUGUUUGAUUUACCUAUUUUUAAAUAUGGAAAUUUUGUUUAGUUUUAUAGUACCUAUUUUAAAAAUAUAUACCUGAUAAUAUAUAACAACUAAAAAGGGAUUGCAUAAAUGUAACAACAAAAAGAAAAAAAAUAAUAUUAUACUUGAUAAGUUGUUAUUAGAAAGUUCAAUAACUUCGAGAGUGGUCAAGUUUCCAACAGUUGAUGGGAUUUCACCUAAAAAUAUAAAUAAAUAGGUCAAAAUAUCUUGGUGCUAGAAUUAUGUUAUCUUUUUUUAAAUUUAUGUUUAAUGUAGAUAACUAACUUAGAAGUAACCGAGGAUAUAGAGAAAUUUUAAUAAAUACUCAAACACGUUGAACUUUUGACAAUUUGUAACUCAAAUUUGUUUCUUAUACUCAGUAUAGUAUAAGAAAAAAAAAGAAAACAAUAAUAUUAUACUUGAUAAGUUGUUAUUAGAAUGAUCAAUAGCUUUGAGGGUGGUCAAGUUUCCAAUUGUUAAUGAGAUUUCACCUAAAAAUAUAAGUAAGUUAGUCAAAGAAAAAAUAAAGCAUCUAAAAAUAUAUGUCUUAUACCAAGAUUCUUAUAUUUUUCUAAUUUCAAAGUAGUUAAAGGAUUAAAUGUGUAAUUAAUUGUUUUUAAGCCAAAAGUAUUAUAGUAAGAAGUUAAAAGAUUGUAAAUAAUUAGUAAUAUAUAGCACCUGGUGGAGGAGGGAAAAUACCAAAAUGAGCUUUAUAAAAUGCAGUUUUUCGGGACAUCAAUCAGUCUCUCAACUCCACAAGUUUUUGCGCAAAAAUAAAAACUAACAUUAUUUAAGCACAUGAAAUGCAAUGAAAACAAACAACAGUUCUCAAGAAACAAAGUAAAUGCAACCUCAAAAAAGUUUGGUUCUGCUAGCACUGAACUUAGUGGUUAUUGUUUAAAGUCCCGCUUCACUACUUAAAACAACUGUUGAUGGAAAUUGCCUAGAGUAGAUGGGAUAACACCGAUGAAGUUGUUAAGGUACAGAGACAACCUUUGAAGCUUACUGAAGCAACCAAACCACGAUGGGAUUUCUCCAUUGAAGCUAUUGUUACCAAAGUCCAAAUAUUUCAUCCGACGCAAAUUAGUUAACUCAACGGGUAAAGAGCCUUGAAAACUAUUUUGAUGAAUAUCGAGCCAAGCAAGGAAAGAUAGAUUUCCCAAUUGAGAAGAAAUGGUGCCUGUGAGAUCCAUGCUUGACAAAUUCAGAGCAGUGACUCUAUAGUGUUUAGAUCCACAUGUGACACCAAUCCAGCUACAAACGGAGGUAGAAGUAGAUCAAUUGGUUGUCAAGAAAUUGUGAGGAUCAUGAGUUAUAUGAGAUUUGAGUGCUAGAAGAGCAGAUUGAUCAACGGUGAUGCUAGAAUAUUUUGCAGACAAAAUAACCCCAAAGGUUGCAAAUAGCAGCCCAAACAUAAAUGGAGGGAGGAAGCUUGGUUUUGCCAUAAGGUUGGACAUGGGUGUAAGGCGCAUCAUAAGGAGAGAAACAACCGAGUUUAAUACUUUUUAAUGUUAGUUCAAUAUUCUUUAAAUACUUUUCUAAUUUGAAAAUUCGUCACAUGAAUUGAUGAGUCCCAGUUGGCAUUGUAGGCAUUUUUUUGAGCAUUCUAGGCAUUUUUUUUAGCACUAAACACAAAAAUAUUUGUAACUAUUUUCCUAGCAAACCCUUAAUUUAUUUGUUGAGCAUAUUAGUGUCGGUUUAAUUUACCUAUUUUUAAAUAUGCAAGUUUUGUUUAGUUUUAUAGUACUUAUGACAACCCAAAAUUAUUUUAGUUAUAAUACUCAAAUUUUUAGUUGAAAUGAUGAUGAAAAUUAGAUGGAAUAAAAUAGUUCACGCUUAUUAGUUUUGCUCAAAUAUAGGAUACAUCAUCGAAGCCGAACAAAUAUAUAUAUAUACUUAGAAACUUUUAUUAGUUAGAAGUGAUUAGCUAAUGUCAAACAACUCAUACUAUUGCAUACAAUAUGUUUCCCUAAACUGUAUGCUAUUUAUCUCUCGCCACAAAUUAUCAAAAACACAUGUGCAUUUUAAGCCAAACAUUUAUAAUAGUGAUAAGCGCCGUAUAGAUACAAUUUCUUGCUAAGGAAUCAGCAAACACACACAUAUCUGCACAUAUUGACACACACAUAUAUGCACAUAUAGACUACUAGGAACCCAAAAAUGUCGCUAGACCCCAGAUAUAGUCUAGGUGAAAAGGGACUGAGGAGUUGAACAGUAAAGAAACUAGUAAGAACUCACAUGAUAAUGAGCUUGUUGUAACCAGAAUACAAAGAUUGGGGCAUAGUCAAGUUUCCAAUUUCUAUAGGCAUAAUUCCCUCCAAAGAGUUGUUAUGCAAUGAUAAAUACAUCAACUCUUUACACUUGAAUAAGCUAUUUGAAAUUCUACUGAAAUUUAAUUAUGUGUCAAGCUUAAUAAUUGCAAUUUAGAAAUUUGAUUAUGUGUCAAGCUUAAGAAUUGCAAUUUAGAAAUGUUAUCAAACAUGUUGAUAGUAGAUGACCUAUAAUGAGAUGAUUAGUUUUAAAACUAAUUUUUUACUGAUGAAAAUAUAUUCAAGUUUUACACAUGUAAGGAACCUGAAUAAGAAUUAUUAUGAAAAUAUAAUCAAAUGAAGCUUGAAAAAUUCCUAGGUAUUAUAGGAAUCUGCCCUUCUAAAUCAUUGUUAUAUAAUAUCAACUGUUAAAUAUUUGAGUCGAAAUUUAUUAUUUGAAAGAGUUUAAUCAUUUUAAGCUGUCUAAUAUUGAAAAUAUUAAAUUAACUUUAGUAGAGUUUAAUUAUAUAUAUAUAUAUAUAUUAUAUUUUAAUAUUUAAUAAAAUUACAUUUUUUAAUUCAAAAAAAUAUUUUAAUCGAUCAUUUUUAUUAAUUUUCGAGUUCAAGCUUAUAUAUAUAAUAUAUAUGUUGAGCUAGAAAUACUACAAAAAGUUGACAUUUUUUAAAAGUAUGAUAAUUUGAAUAGAAGUAACAUAUGCUAAUGUGGAGUAAUUGUUUCAUAUAAUCCUUUUUAUGAUGAAAUGAUUGCUUAAUUUACUUCAUAACUUCUUACAUUUAGACAUAAUAAUGAGGUUUUAAUCUUUUAAGGUAACUUUUAUUUUAUUUACUUAAAAAAAUUGCAUAAAUUUAAUAACAAAAAGGAGAAUAAAAGAAACAUGAAAUUAUACCUGUCAAUUUGUUAUUGCCAAGAUAAAGCUCUCGAAGAGAAAUCAAGUGUCCAAUAACAAGAGGAAUUUCACCUGAAACAUAUAAUUAAAUCAGUCAAAAUUUGCAAAUAUUUUCCUAGCAACCCCUUAAUUUAUUUGUUGGCAUAUUAGUGUCUGUUUCAUUUACCUAUUUUUAAAUAUGCAAGUUUUGUUUAGUCUUAUAGUACUUAUGAUAACCCAAAAAUAUUUUAAUUAUAAUACUCAAAUUAACAAUAAAAAAAUAUUUAUCUUUGUGCUAGAAAAAAACACCGCAUAGAUCAUAAAAAGGAAAAACUAAAACAUCCAAAAAAACACUAAACACAAAAUUCAUAGUUGUAGAGGAGAAUUAGAUACAUUGGUCCCAUAAUAUGUCACUCAAAAUCUAAAAAUCAUCCAACAAAAAGAAAUCAUCACUUUAGUUAAUUAAAGCAAGAAAAAAUAAAGUUUUGGAUGAACAAAUAAAUUUAAAGUCUUUAAGUUUCGAAUUUAGAAUUUUAAUAUUUAUUUAUAAUUAAUCUGCUAAAAUCCUUUUGAGUGUCAUCAGCCCUCCUAUUAGCUUUUGUCUUAGUACCAAAACUUAAACAGCUUUGCUUUGAGUGUCUUAAAAUCAUAGGCAAGGAUAUUCCAGCAUGUCAUGAUUUUCACCAGACUCGAUGAGCAGAUAAAAACUGGGUCACCUGUCUGGUAAGUUGUUCCAAGUCAUUUAACUUGGGGGGGUCCCCUCUACUUAAAGAAUGCUCCUUCACGGGCUCCACUUUUCGACCCUCCAAAACCCAAUGUCCCUAUCCAUCUCAGUCCCCACUCAAAACUUUAAAUUUUAAUUCAUCCUGGAGGGAAACAACAAAAGGCAGAGAGGGCUGCCUAGCGCCCUUUCCUAGAUAUUAUUAUCGGUAACUUCAAUUCAAAUACUAAUUACCAAACCCUAUGUGUCCAAAACCAAACAUCAAACUCCAAAUUCCGUCCAACAAUCAAACACCAAACACGAAACUGCUCAAAAACAACCCCAAUAAACCUCAAAUUUCACUAACUCGUUGUGAGGCGGAAAGGAUAUAAAGCCAAGUGCGUAGUCCUCACGCCAUGAAGUAGUUUCCUUUGCUUACCACAUCAUUUCCCAAUUCACAAUUUUUUUGCUUUCCAACGCCAAAUGUUAACUCAUUGCACUUGAUUAAACUAUUUGGAAUUCUACCCGAAAUCUUAUCGCCUCUCAACUUUAAGACUUGCAGUUUAGAUAGGUUAUCAAAUAUUUCUAACUGUAGAUGACCUACAACGAUAAUAUUAUUACCUAGUUUUGACAUUUCUAGUUUUGAGAAAUUGCUUAGGGUAGAUAGGGAUAACACCAAUGAAGUUGUUACUAUACGUACAAAUACAAGCUUUUAAAUUUUAGAAAUUAUUGUUGCCAAAGUUGAAAUAUUCUAACUGAUGCAAACUAGUGUACUCAAUUAAUGGGUAAACAAACAUAGAAACUAUUGUUACAAAUGUUGAGUUUGGCAAGGAAAGAAGAUUUCCAGUUAAGAUGGUAUGGUGUUUGUGAAAUCCAUACCUAAUGCAUCAAGAGUUGUGAUGUUUGAAUUUAUAAGUAAAAGUAAUCUAUGAGAUUUUAAUGCUACAAGGUUGAUUUGAUUAACGGUGAAAUUAGGUAGGGGAUAAGGCUAUUCAGAGAGGAGGGAAAUAGUUGAGUGUAAAAUUCUACAUGAAUUCUUUUAAGUUCAAUAUUCAAAAUAUUCAGAUUUCCAUCAUCAAAGUUGAAUAGUUUGUAAUUCAAAUUACUGCUCUCUUUUUACUUGUACCAAUAUUUCCUAUAUUUUUCUUAUGUUAAAAUAGUCAAAGUAUUAAAUAUAUAAUUAAUUGGAGAGAAGUCAAAAGCUAAUUAAUAAUAUAUAGGGAUCGCAUAAAUGUAACAAAAAAAAAUGAUAUUAUACCUGAUAAGUUAUUAUAAGCAAGAUCAAUAACUUCGAGAGUAGUCAAGUUUUCAAUAGUUGAUGGGAUUUUACCUAAAAAUAUAAAGAAAUUGGUCAAAAUAUGUUAUCUUUGUGUGUACUUGUUUUUAAGCCAAAAGUAUUAUAGUAAGAAGUUAAAAGAUUGUAAAUAAUUAGUAAGAUAUAGCACCUGGUGGAGGAGGGAAAAUACCAAAAUGAGCUUUAUAAAAUGCAGUUUUUCGGGAAUAUAGAAAGUUGACAUCAAUGAGUCUCUCGACUCCACAAGUUUUUGCGGCAAAAUAAAAACUAACAAUAUUUAAGCACAUGAAAUGCAAUGAAAACAAACAACAGUUCUGAAGAAACAAAGUAAAUGCAACCUCAAAAAAGUUUGGUUCUGCUAGCACUGAACUUAGUGGUUAUUGUUUAAAGUCCCGCUUCACUACUUAAAACAACUGUUGAUGGAAAUUAGAUCAAAAUGAAUGAAACAAUAACCAGGAAUUGUUUACCUUUGAAAUGGUUGAGACCAAGACCCAACGUCUUGAGCAAAGUCAAAUUUCCAAUUUCUGUAGGUAUACUUCCCUCCAAGGAGUUGUUAAACAAUGAUAAAAACUUCAGCUCUUUGCACUUGAAUAAACUAUUUGGAAUUCUACCGGAAAUUUGAUUCCCACCCAAGCUCAACAUUUCUAGUUUUGACAAAUUGCCUAGAGUAGAUGGGAUAACACCAAUGAAGUUGUUAAGGUACAGAGACAAUCUUCGAAGUUUACUGAAGCAACCAAACCAUGGUGGGAUUUCUCCAUUGAAGCUAUUGUUACCUAAGUCCAAAUAAUUCAUCCGACGCAAAUUAGUUAACUCAAUGGGUAAAGAGCCUUGGAAACUAUUUUGAUGAAUAUCGAGCCAAGCAAGGAAAGAUAGAUUUCCCAAUUGAGAAGAAAUGGUGCCUGUGAGAUCCAUGCUUGACAAAUUCAGAGCAGUGACUCUAUAGUGUUUAGAUCCACAUGUGACACCAAUCCAGCUACAAACGGAGAUAGAAGUAGUCCAAUUGGUUGUCAAGAAAUUGUGAGGAUCAUGAAUUAUAUGAGAUUUGAGUGCUAGAAGAGCAGAUUGAUCAACGGUGAUGCUAGAAUAUUUUGCAGAUAAAAUAACCCCAAAGGUUGCAAAUAGCAGCCCAAACAUAAACGGAGGGAGGAAGCUUGGUUUUUCCAUAAGGUUGGAUAUGGGUGUAAGGCGCAUCAUAAGGAGAGAAACAACCGAGUUUAAUACUUUCCUAAUGUUAGUUCAAUACUUCGUAAGUU
This 11660-nucleotide long non-coding RNA is filed under the name Gossypium raimondii (Peruvian cotton). RNAcentral describes it as "long non-coding RNA (GRAI_LNC005906)". The record is from RNAcentral. Lineage: Eukaryota; Viridiplantae; Streptophyta; Magnoliopsida; Malvales; Malvaceae.